Long non-coding RNA from Bombus huntii, 336 nucleotides. RefSeq lists it as uncharacterized. The record is from RefSeq and is a predicted model, not a curated record. The transcript has 3 exons. NCBI's taxonomy places the organism in Eukaryota, Metazoa, Arthropoda, Insecta, Hymenoptera, Apidae.
AAGAAACGGAGACCAACGUUGAACGGACAGUGGUACACUACUGACAGAUCGGAAAAAUUAGUGCAAUUCCUCGAGGAGAUAACAGGUGUGUCAGCUGACAGAGAAUGGCUUGCUUGAAACUUUUUUUAAGAAGUUAUAUCUGGAGAACAUCGUAAAUUUAAAAGGAGGUAUUACAUGGGGAAAAAAUACACAGUACACAGUCCUGCUGCUGGCUGUCAUUAUUGGCAUCGUCGCUGCGAAACCAGGAUACUUAGGUGGAUACUACGGCGGAUAUUAUCCUUACAUUUAUAGCUACAGAUAUCCGUUCUACGGAUAUGGCCACGGAUUCGGACAUUA